This 443-nucleotide ribosomal RNA is filed under the name uncultured bacterium. Its description in RNAcentral is "partial 16S ribosomal RNA". It matches the Rfam family "Bacterial small subunit ribosomal RNA", at positions 338 to 795 of the family's 1533-position model. The record is from RNAcentral.
CCUACGGGUGGCAGCAGUGGGGAAUAUUGGGCAAUGGGCGCAACCCUGACCCAGCAACGCCGCGUGAAGGAAGAAGGCUUUCGGGUUGUAAACUUCUUUUCUUAGGGACGAAUAAAGUGACGGUACCUCAGGAAUAAGCCACGGCUAACUACGUGCCAGCAGCCGCGGUAAUACGGAGGUGGCAAGCGUUAUCCGGAUUUAUGGGGUGUAAAGGGCGUGUAGGCGGGAAAGCAAGUCAGAUGUGAAAACUCAUUGCUCAACCCUGAGCCUGCAUUUGAAACUGUUUUUCUUGAGUGCUGGAGAGGCAAUCGGAAUUCUGGGUGUAGCGGUGAAAUGCGUAGAUAUCAGGAGGAACACUAGUGGCGAAGGCGAAUUGCUGGACAGUAACUGACGCUGAGGCGCGAAAGCGUGGGGAGCAAACAGGAUUAGAUACCCCUGUAGUC